RNAcentral lists this long non-coding RNA (6739 nucleotides) under Phaseolus vulgaris (common bean). RNAcentral describes it as "long non-coding RNA (PVUL_LNC004094)". Lineage: Eukaryota; Viridiplantae; Streptophyta; Magnoliopsida; Fabales; Fabaceae. The record is from RNAcentral.
GAUUGUUGUGCUUCUUAUUAUCAAGUCUCCGUGGUUUUGUCGAAUUAUAUCAUGUUUGCUAUCAUCGAUGUGGUUUUGAUGUGGUUUUGUCGGAUUGAAGAACGCCAAUUCUGAAUAUGAUUCUUUAUGUGAUGAUGGCGAUUUUUGAAUCUUUUGAUCAAAUUCCUUUAUCCUUUUCAGCUGGUGACGGGGUCUCUGAGAUUUUUCUUCUACUUUCCUUUCUAUUAUUUGAUUUAUCUGGUAUUGAUCACGAAAAUAAGAAUUGGACUAUGAUUUGUUUAUCUGCAGUGGUGUAACACGUCUCUAUACUUCUUCCUUUUAUUAAGAGCUUAGUUCGUUUUCUUGAAUUUUUGGGUUGUACAGGGAAGACACACAAUGGAUGUGAAAUGAAGAUUAUGUUUUGUUACCCUUAACUUUUUUAUGGGUUUAUUCGUGACUGAUCAUUUGAUUUCGUAGUCUAACUUUGUGUUUAUGUUCACUCCCCUUCAGCAAUUGGAGUUUCUGAGAUUUGAAACCCUAAAAAGUUUAAAACGGUUGCAGCUCAGGAUAUCCCAAUUCUCUCUAUCUAUUGUUUAAUUUCUCUCUACUUGAUCUCCAAGGAUUGAAUUGUGUUCGACGUUUGAAUUAUUUUCCCUUAAUGUCCUGCAACAUCUCAUGGAGUAUGUUAUGAGGCCCCAAGGAUUGAAUUGGUGUUUGAAUUAUUUUCGCUUAAUGUCCUGCAGAGUAUGUUAUGAGACAUAAGGGUUGAAUUGUGAUUUGUUUCCUGUUUGGAUGAUUUGCACAGUGUCCUGCAUCUUAUAGAAUAUGAAUGACUUGGUUUUCGCACGGUUCUCGCGAGUAUGUUAUGGCCACCAUUCUUCCUUGGUUUUUUAAGUCUUCAAUUUAUCUUAUCAUUCUAUACUUCGUCCUCGAUUACCAGUUAUACUUUCUUCAAUUAUUGUUCUUUACAGGGGUGUGGGGGUAGGACAGGGAUCAAGUUCCUAUAACUAGUAAAUUCAUUUACGUGAAUUUUGAGUAUAAUUCUCUAUUUGAGUAUGAUGAGUUUUAUACCUUAUUGCUUAAAUUUCUUUUCAGCUGGUGGCUGGUUUUUUGGCAUUUCUUUUGCCUAUAGAUGAUAUGGAAAGCACACCGACCAAGGGCUCGACAUAACCUUAAGUCUUUUUUGAGUUUCCCUUAUAUUUUUUUUUAUGGUAUUACAAAAGGAUUGAACUAUGAUUUGUUUAUCUGCAGUGGUGUUUGGAUUAGUUGGGUAAUGUCACAUAUUCAACUUAUAAAGUUUCUGUAAUUAGUAAAUUCAUUUAGGUGAAUUCUGAGUACAAUUUUCUAUUUGAAGAUGACGAAUUUUAAACCUUUUGCAUAAAUUUCUUUGCACCUUUUCAGUUGGUGGCUGGUUCUCUGGCAUUUCUUUUGCCUAUGGAUGAUAUGAAAAGCACAAUAACCAAGGGGCUCGUCAUAACCUAAGUCUUUUUUGAGUUUUCCUUCUUUUUUUCUUUUUUCCUGGUAUUGUUCACAGUACAUAAGGAUUAAACUAUGGUUUGUUUAUUUGCAGUGGUGUUUGGAUUAGAUGGGUAACAACGCAUAUUCAUCGUAUCAAGUUUCUAUAACUAGUAAAUUCAUUUACGUCAAUUUUGACUAUAAUUUUCUAUUUGAGUAUGACGAGGAAAAUUACUUCAAUUUCUUUUCAUUUGACCAAGGGCUCAACAUAACCUUAAAUCUUUUUUGAGUUUCCCUUAUAUUUUUUUUAUGGUAUUACAUAAGGAUUGAACUAUGAUUUGUUUAUCUGCAGUGGUGUUUAGAUUAGUUGGGUAACGUGCAGAUUCAUUUUAUCAAGUUUCUAUAACUAGUAAAUUCAUUUACGUGAAUUUUGAGUAUAAUUAUCUAUUUGAGUAUGAUGAGUUUUAAACCUGUUGCGUAAAUUUCUUUUCAGCUGGUAGCUGGUUUUUUGGCAUUUCUGUUGCUUAUGGAUGAUAUGAAAAGCACAACAACCAAGGGCUAGACAUAACCUUAAGUCUUUUUUGAGUUUCCCUUCUAUUAUUUUUUUAUGGUUCUACAUAAGGAUUGAACUAUGAUUUGUUUAUCUGCAGUGGUGUUUUGGAUUAGUUGGGUAAAUUUCUUUGCUCCUUUUCAGCUGGAGUUCUCUGGCAUUUCUUUCUCCUAUGGAUGAUAUGAAAAGCAGAAGGACCAAGGGCCUCGACAUAACCUAUUUUUCUGCUACGGACUAUGAUUUGUUUAUCUGCAGUGGUGUAACACGUUUCUAUACUUCUUCCUUUUAUUAAGAGCUUAGUUCGUUUUCUUGAUUUUUUUGCUGUAUAGGUAGUUCGUUUUCUUGAAUUUUUGGGCUAUACAGGGAAGGCACGGAAUGGAUGUGAAAUGAAGUAUUAUGUUUUGUUACCUUUAAGUCUUUUUUGAGUUUCCCUUCUAUUAUUUUUUUAUGGUUUUACAUAAGGAUUGAACUAUGAUUUGUUUAUCUGCAGUGGUGUUUUGGAUUAGUUGGGUAACGUUGCAUAUUCUUCUUAUCAAGUUUCUAUAAUUAGUAAAUUCAUUUAGGUCUAUAUGAGGAUGACGAGUUUUGAACCUUCUGCGUAAAUUUCUUUGCACCUUUUCAGCUGGAGUUCUCUGGCAUUUAUUUCUCCUAUGGAUGAUAUGAAAAGCAGAAGGAUCAAGGGGCUCGACAUAACCUAAGUCUUUUUUGAGUUUUAUUUCUUCUUUUUUUUCCUGGUAUUUAUGACAGUACAUAAGGAUUGAACUAUGAUUUGUUUAUCUGCAGUGGUGUUUGGAUUAGUUGGAUAACGACGCAUAUUCAUCUUACAAGUUUCUAUAACUAGUAAAUUCAUUUACGUGAAUUUUGAGUAUAAUUCUCUAUUUGAGUGUGACGAGUUUUAAACCUUUUGCCUAUCUGGUAUUGAUCACGAAAAUAAGGAUUGGACUAUGAUUUGUUUAUCUGCAGUGGUGUAACACGUCUCUAUACUUCUUCCUUUUAUUAAGAGCUUAGUUCGUUUUCUUGAAUUUUUGGGUUGUACAGGGAAGACACACAAUGGAUGUGAAAUGAAGAUUAUGUUUUGUUACCCUUAACUUUUUUAUGGGUUUAUUCGUGACUGAUCAUUUGAUUUCGUAGUCUAACUUUGUGUUUAUGUUCACUCCCCUUCAGCAAUUGGAGUUUCUGAGAUUUGAAACCCUAAAAAGUUUAAAACGGUUGCAGCUCAGGAUAUCCCAAUUCUCUCUAUCUAUUGUUUAAUUUCUCUCUACUUGAUCUCCAAGGAUUGAAUUGUGCUCGACUAUUUUACCUUAAAGUCCUGCAGCAUCUCAUGGAGUGUGUUAUGAGGCCCUAAGGGUUGAAUUGGUGUUUGAAUUAUUUUCGCCUAAUGUCCUGCAGAGUAUGUUAUGAGAUUUAAGGGUUGAAUUGUGAUUUGUUUCCUGUUUGGAUGAUUUGCAUAGUGUCCUGCAUCCUAUGGAAUAUGUAUGGUUUUCGCACGGUCAUCGCGAGUAUGUUAUGGCCACCAUCUUCCUUGGUUAUUUAAGUCUUCAAUUUAUCUUAUCGUUCUAUAGUUCAUCCUUGAUUACCAGUUAUACUUUGUUGAAUUAUUGUUCUUCACAGGGAUGUGUGGGGGUAGGACAGGGAUGUGUGGGUAGGACUUUCCUCGUGGUUGGUUGAAAAUGAUGGAUGAGUCAUGCUUGACGGUAUGAAAAACACAAUGACAAAGGGCUCGACAUAACCUAAGUCUUUUUUGAGUUUUCCUUAUAUUUUUUCUUUUUCCUGUUAUUGAUCACAGUACAUAAGGAUAUGAUUUGUUUAUCUGCAGUGGUGUUUGGAUUGGUUACGAUGCAUAUUCAUCUUACAAGUGGUGGCUGGUUUUUUGGCAUUUCUUUUACCUAUGGAUUAUAUGAAAAGCACAACGACCAAGCAUUUCUAUUAUUUUUAUGGUAUUACAUAAGGAUUGAACUAUGAUUUGUUUAUAUGCAGUGGUGUUUGGAUUAGUUGUGUAACGUCUAUGUUCAUCGAAUCAAGUUUCUGUAAUUAGUAAAUUCAUUUAGGUGAAUUCUGAGUAUAAUUCUCUAUUUGAGGAUGACGAGUUUUAUCCUUUUGCAUAAAUUUCUUCUCACCUUUUCAGUUGGUGGCUGGUUCUCUGGCAUUUCUUUUGGCUAUGGAUGAUAUGAAAAGCACAACGACCAAGGGGCUCGACAUAACCUUCAAGUCUUUUUUGAGUUUUCCUUCUAUUUUUCUUUAUCCCGGUAUUGAUCACAAUACAUAAGGAUAUGAUUUGUUUAUCUGCAGUGGUGCUUGGAUUAGUUGGGUAACGUAGCAUAUUCAUCUUAUCAAAUUUCUAUAAUUAGUAAAUUCAUUUAGGUGAAUUCUGAGUAUAAUUCUCUAUUUGAGGAUGAAGAGUUUUGAACCUUUCGCAUAAAUUUUUUUUCACCUUUUCAGCUGGUGGCUGGUUCUCUGGCUUUUUUUUUGCCUAUGGUGAUAUGAAGAGAACAACGACCAAGGGCUCAACAUAACCUAAGUCUUUUUUUAGUUUUGCUUCUAUUAUUUAUAUUUUCUGGUAUUGAUCACCUACCACAAGGAUUGUAAUAUGUUUUUUUUUAUCUGCAGUGGUGUUUGUGUAACGUCGCAUAUUCAUCUUAUCAACUUUCUAUACUUCCUCCCUCUUAUUAGCGAUUAUCUUUUCCUUCAAUUUUUGGACUGUACAGGGUUUAUCGUUUCCUUCAGUUAAAUUCGGUUUUCGUGUUCAUUCCUUUUCAGCAAGUCCCGAGUCUGAGAUUUCUUUUGGCGGUUGAGGAACUAGAGUUUAGAAUGGUUGCACAUCAGGAUAUCCUAAUUUCUCAAUGAGUGUAUCCUCUAUUAUUUUAUUUAAUCUCAGCAGCGGUGUUUAGAUGAUUUUUGCUUAUUGUACUUCAUCUCAUGAGUGUGUUAGGAGGGCGACAGUGUCUCCCUUAAUUUUUUGAUUUAUCUAAUCAUCCGUUAUAGAUUUGUUGUAUUAUUGUUCUUUAGGGAUGUGUGGGCUUAUAGUUUUGUUGAAUUAUUGUUCUUUACAGGGAUGUGUUGGGUAGGACGUGGAAACCAUGUCGGGAUAUUUCUUGAACUGUGAAUCAUUCGUUUUUUUUCCUACUCUUACACUAGUUUUUUCUAUUGCAUUAGUUUGUAUUUGGCCAACCUUGUUGGUUCGAUUUUUAUUUUUUCUUCUUAGGCAUAACCAAAUAAAUAUUGGAGGGCUAAUGAAUGUCCUAUUUUAACAUAUGAUCACGACAAAUGGUCUCUUGGCAGCUUGAUUUUAUGAUCCGUGUCUCUAUGCACUGUGACCUUAGGCACUUUGGUGGUCUCAGGCCUAGAUAAAUUGAAAAGAAGUAUCUUGGAGUCAUUCCCUUCAUUUUAGUAGUGGUAAUUAGCAAGAGCUCAGGACUAUUUGGCUCCAAUUUUUUUAUUACAAAACUUUAUUUUGUCUUAGUUUUCUUUUUUUGACAAAUGAAUUUUCGGAAACAGUGAAUGGAGGUCCAGUGAAACUUUAGGUUUUAUUAUCUUUGCAUUCAUUAUUAUUUUCUUUGCGGUUAUUCUUUUGGCUAACCUUGUGGCUAAACAUGUAGAGUGGCAGUUCUUGUAAACAGGCACUAUAUGAGUAUGAUAGGCUUUGACAUUUGUUUUGUUGUGCCUUCGAUUAUCUUCUUCUACUUGGGUUGCAGUGACUUACUAUGAGCGGUUCCCAUGGUUUUCAAUUUUUGAAUUUACCUUAACUUUUCUUUACUCUGUCAUGUCAUGCUUUUAAGAAAAUUAGUUUUCUCAAAUCCCCAUGCUUCUGGUUGAGCUUUUACAGGAAAACUAUAGAUAUAUGGGGCAGGUUUCGGAAAUAAUUAUUGGACUUUACAGGGAAUUCAUGGGCUACCCAAAAUGAGGUGUGAAUUAUGUGAUAUGUGAAGCUCAAUGUUUUUAUUAACGGUACAUUGUAGUAUCUGAAUUAAUUUUUAACUGGCUCAACUUGUUGGUUUGAUUAUAAUCUUGGUUGUAUUUUGAUGGUGUAUGGUUCAUAAGUGGCAUUGUGAGCAUGGGACAAGUGCGGUUGGACUUUAUUUUUUGAUUUGAUAGUUUGCUUCUUGGUUUGAAAAGUUUAGGAUUUAGGGUUUAUUUGACGCCUUUUGGAUAAUCCUCUGAUAUAGGUCUUUGGCUCUUUAUUAGUUUUCCAAACCUUUGAUUCAUUAUUCUUGAUGAGUAAGCAUAUGGGUUGAGUUGUUGAGGUAUGAAUUUGUUUGAAAUUGUUUCAUGUCCCUGGAGUCUUAUUUUGACUGACAGCAAUGUCUCUUACUAUGAAUGACAGUAAUCUCUGAGCCUAUUAUGUGUAUGGAAAUUUUUGAAGUCAGUAUAAUAAUAUCUCACAACUUUGGUCACAUUUCUAUUUUACAUAUAAAUUAUUAACAAAGGGAGGAGAUAAAACAAGUUGUUAUGUAGUAGUAGAAUCUAUUUCUCUUUGAAAUUAUUGUUAAGGACCUACGAGUCAAGUUUUUAUAUUUAAUUUUUUUCCUAUACCAGUCAAUGAUAUAACUCAGCCGUGAAUCUUGAUCAUUCCUUUCUAUAUAUAUACCCAAUAUCUGUUUUGUUGGUAUUGCUUCAGUUAUUGUUGUGAUUCUUUACAAGGUUUUGUGGAAUUACAUGAUGUUUGUGUCGUGGGAUAGAAGAAUUAUUAAGAAUUAUUAGUAAACCGCUUCAUGAAAUUUGAUAUUAGUUUUUUUUUUUCCUUUUUAAAAUGCAGAG